CUCACCACCUCAGAGAGUAAUCUUCAUGGAUUGCUAUGCCUGAAAACAAUUCCAUAGUUGGUGGCCAACCUUUUGAUGAUACUUUCCAAGGCAUGAUGUAAGGAGCACAAUGCUAUUUGCAAACCGGAGCAUCUGGAAGUCCUCACAACCUGUUAGAAAUUCUUCUGGGACUGAGAGUCUGUACAGGAUCCCAUCCAUGACAGCAGAGACUACGUGACCACCAAAAUGCUAGAGCUAGGCAGGAAAUGGCACAGCAGAUGUACAUUGAACCUGUACAACCAUAGAUAGAAGUCCUGCUCCAUGUUCUUUCUCUGCCCUUGGGACCAGCACAACAGAAGAUGACAUAUACUUCAAUGGAAGGUUACACUUGUUCAGAAUUAAUGGGAGAUAGAAACAAAAGAUGUUCAUAAAUACAACAUUCAAAAGAUAAAAUUCAGAUGGAGACAAGAUGCAAAUAUAUUACAAGUAAAAUAAUAAUACAAAAGUAGGUGAGAUGGCAAGAGGAAGUACAAAAUUAUUUCUAAAAUGAGUGGGGCAGAGUGAUAUGUGAACAGUUCAUGAAUUUUCAGACUUCCAUCAUUGUUUUGAAUUUUUUCCCCAUCUUUCUUUCCCCAUCAAGUCUUUCCAGUCUUGAAGGAGCAUUCUGAUUACCCUCCAAUUCUCUCUCCAUAUCACUCUAAAAUUCUUGAAAAUCUAAUCUCUC
This is a long non-coding RNA of Monodelphis domestica (gray short-tailed opossum), 703 nucleotides long. RefSeq lists it as uncharacterized. NCBI's taxonomy places the organism in Eukaryota, Metazoa, Chordata, Mammalia, Didelphimorphia, Didelphidae. The record is from RefSeq and is a predicted model, not a curated record.